Molecule: ribosomal RNA, 481 nt
Filed under: uncultured bacterium
Lineage: Bacteria
Description: partial 16S ribosomal RNA
Rfam family: Bacterial small subunit ribosomal RNA
Source: RNAcentral
GACGAACGCUGGCGGCGUGCUUAACACAUGCAAGUCGAGCGAUGAAGUUUCUUCGGAAAUGGAUUAGCGGCGAACGGGUGAGGAACACGUGAAGAAUCUGCCCUCCACUUUGGGAUAACACAGGGAAACCUGUGCUAAUACCGAGUAUUGAAACAUAAGUGGCAUCACUGAGUUUUGAAAGAAUUUCGGUGGAGGAUGACUUCGUGGCCUAUCAGCUAGUUGGUGAGGUAAUGGCUCACCAAGGCAACGACGGGUAGCCGGCCUGAGAGGGCGACCGGCCACACUGGGACUGAGACACGGCCCAGACUCCUACGGGAGGCAGCAGUGGGGAAUAUUGGGCAAUGGAGGAAACUCUGACCCAGCGACGCCGCGUGCGGGAUGAAGGCCUUCGGGUUGUAAACCGCUUUCAGUAGGGAAGAAGCGAAAGUGACGGUACCUACAAAAGAAGCACCGGCUAACUAUGUGCCAGCCGCCGCGGUAA